CAAAAGGCUCUUUUAAGAGCCACUCACAAAACUGAAAAGGGCUCU
This is a regulatory RNA element of Scleropages formosus (Asian bonytongue), 45 nucleotides long. It matches the Rfam family "Histone 3' UTR stem-loop". From Rfam's summary of the family: The mRNAs of metazoan histone genes lack a poly-A tail. 3' end processing occurs at a site between a highly conserved stem-loop (modelled by this family) and a purine rich region around 20 nts downstream (the histone downstream element, or HDE). The stem-loop is bound by a 31 kDa stem-loop binding protein (SLBP - also termed the histone hairpin binding protein, or HBP). Lineage: Eukaryota; Metazoa; Chordata; Actinopteri; Osteoglossiformes; Osteoglossidae. The record is from Rfam.